AUUGAACGCUGGCGGCAGGCCUAACACAUGCAAGUCGAGCGGCGCACGAGUCGGGUGCGUGAGGCUUAGGACUCUGCCUGGGCGUGGGGGAUAAGGUUCGGUAACGGGAGCUAAUACUGCAUCCUCUCGGAUGAGGCUAGGUCGGAUUAGCUAGUUGGUGGGGUAAGGGCUUACCAAGGCGACGAUCCGUAACUGGUCUGAGAGGAUGAUCAGCCACACUGGAACUGAGACACGGUCCAGACUCCUACGGGAGGCAGCAGUGGGGAAUAUUGGACAAUGGGCGAAAGCCUGAUCCAGCCAUGCCGCGUGUGUGAAGAAGGCCUUCGGAUUGUAAAGCACUUUAAGUUGGGAGGCGUUACCAACAGAAUAAGCACCGGCUAACUUCGUGCCAGCAGCCGCGGUAAUAC
This 407-nucleotide ribosomal RNA is filed under the name uncultured bacterium. Its description in RNAcentral is "partial 16S ribosomal RNA". It matches the Rfam family "Bacterial small subunit ribosomal RNA", at positions 30 to 526 of the family's 1533-position model. The record is from RNAcentral.